RNAcentral lists this long non-coding RNA (4416 nucleotides) under Homo sapiens (human). Its description in RNAcentral is "FAM13A antisense RNA 1". The stretch from base 3489 to 3596 matches the Rfam family "FAM13A antisense RNA 1 conserved region 2". Lineage: Eukaryota; Metazoa; Chordata; Mammalia; Primates; Hominidae. The record is from RNAcentral.
GGUAUAGUUAUCAAACCAAGGAACCAAUAUUGGGAAAUUACUAUUCAUGAAACUUCACUCUUUUUUUUUGAUUUUACCAGUUUUUCCACUGAUGUCUGUCCCAAGGUCUAAUUGAGGAUCCCACAGUGCAUGUAUUUCAACAGGCUUUUAGUAAAUAUUGGGAUUCCAGGCUUUGUCUCUGGCUAGAUAUGAGAGUACAAAUCCUCUGUGCCCCUCCACCUCCCCAGACAGUCAUGCUGUACAAUCUUGGGACAUAGGGUAAAGUGAAGGGCCUCUUCGGGCAGGCAGGUAAGUCAUCAGGCCACUCCAUGGGCCCUGGGAGACCAUCAGCACACAGUUGGGCCCUUCCUCAGCAAGCAGCUCUGUGUUCUCAGCAGUAUGAGUAAGCAUUGAGGCCUCAAUAGUUGGCAAAAAGCAGAUCUUCCUGUGGGAAAAAUACUUUGAAUAAGGAAGAAAAAGGAGAUUUGUAUUAUAUAAGUUUGGCUGUCUCUAAUUUAAAGAAAGUUAAACUUUAUUGCACAACGACUACUAGUUCUUUCUUCUUCUUCUUCCUUCUCCUCCUCUUCCUUCUCCUUUUUCUGUCUCCUCCUACUUCUCCUUGUCCUUUUUCUCCUCCUCCUCCUCCUUCCCUUCUCCUCCUCCUCCUCUUUCUCCUUCCCUUCUCCUCCUUCUCCUCCUUCCUCUAUCUUUUUCUCCUCCUCCUUCUUCUCUUUCCUUUCUCCUUCUUCUCCUCCUCCUUCUCCCCCCCUUCUCUUUCUCCUCCUCCUUCUCCUUCUUUCUUCUCCUUCUUUUCUUCUCCUCCUCCUCCUUUUCUCCUCUCCUCCUCCUUUUUUCUUCUCCUUCUUCUCCUCCUCCUUCUCUUCCUUCUCAUUCUUCCCCUUCUUCUUUUCCUUCGUUUCCUCCCCCCCUCCACCUCCUCUCAAAUUUAGUUUUCCACGGAAUCCCCCAUCCUUUGGAAAUUUUUUUUUUGCUUAGUAUCUGUUCAUUUCUUCCAGAAUCAUAGUUUGGAAUUAAUGGACACAUAGUAGUUAAUCAGAUGAUAGAGAUUAAAGUGAAGGGAGGCAUACACUGGAAUAGCAAAAUAUGUUUGCAGUGAAACCCAAUGAAUAGAAUACUUCAUGUUAGGGUGAAGUAUUGGAGGAAAAACAAAUACUUUCAUUAAAAUCAAAGCUACUCUUCAGAAUUUCAUUAUUUUCUUUUAAUGAGAAAUGUAUGUGUUGGUCGUCUUGUCGUCUUUGACUCUUAAAAUGUAACCAAGCAAAUUUUAAACUACAUCUCUAAAGUGCCUAAGUGUGAUGCCUACGUUACCUUUAACUUAACUUCGUUAGUGGCAGAGGUUCCAUGAGUUAUGAGUACUCUGCUCUGUGAAUGUCUCCAUUUUUGAGGUGCCUUUGUGGAGUAUUGAUAGGGACCAUUCCUGGGCUCCACUUACAGACUUCUGUUGGGGAAUAGGAUCUCACAAAGCAGAACAGGAGUUUGUGAUAAGGAAGAGGACAAAGAGAGCAGGUCCUUGUGUUCUUCAAAAACGGUGAACAUUAUCCUACUGAUUUUGGACCAAGGGAGUUCUCCAGUGGGAAGUGACACAGAACCUACCACAGUGCCUUCCAAUCCAGGUUUUUGGUAAUGAGUGAUGAAUGAAUCCCAUGAGAGCAGAGCCCCGUGGAGCGGGUGGCAAAUGUUGCUCUCUGACUACAGUUCUCUCCUUAGGGAUGCUAACACAGACUGCCUCAGAUGCAGGCAGGGCUGCUUGUCCACACUGAUCAGGCAUGGAUUUGCAUUAACAUCUGUAGUGCCCUUUACUUGUGCAGUGAGAUACUGGGAUAUACAACAGAAUAGGUGCUGGAAGAGGCAUCCACUACAGUGUGGGCAGACUCUUUGGAUCUGUAUUAAUAACAGCCUCUCCCGUGGAUUAGCUAGUCCAGGCUUUGGUGCUUUAUUUCCUCCCAAAAUAAUGGAGUGUGUACUCCUUAGUUAUGUGUAGCACCAAGAAAAUUAAUCCAGAUGUCAUCUUUUUUGUUUCCCCCUCCAGCGUGGCUGGAUACUUGGCAGGGCACAGAAUCACAUGGUCUUCAGAUCUUCUAAAAGCUGAUUUUCCUGGGCCUAAUCCCAUGAGAGUUGGAGACAGUCUAUGAUAAUUACUGAUUCAGCUCCUGCUGGUGUUGAACUUACUGAGAAACUUAAACAAGAAUUAAAAUACACACCCACACACCCUCAGAUGGAGCCAAACACUAAACCAGAUUAGUCUUUCGUGGUCACCUUUUCUUCAGGAUUAGGAGGAUCAGAAAGCAAGAGCAGAUUCUGAAACACUGUAACCCCAUUCCCUACUGGGUCAUAAGAGGCUGGUGCUCUUGAGGACGAAGGUCGGCAGCAGGUGCCAACUAGGUACUGGCUUCUGGUCCCAGCAGAGCUGGCCUGCCACAGCCCAAGCGUCUUGUUUUGGUUAAAAAAUGAGUCUCUUGGCCUUUCAUGCCUGGGCGUUCUCCGGAACUCAGAUGUUUGUGAACCAGGUUCAGGGACUCUCAAGUUCAAGUCACUGGCAGAUUGGAGAAAAGACCUAGAAGUUCUAAGUGUCUGAGGUAAUGAGAGGAGGGACGCAAAGCCUCAUUCAAUGAGACUGCAAAGUCACCUGAAUGGGAAAGCUUGCCCUAUUGCUGGCCUCGGCAAUGGCACCUUCAGGUUGUCCCCUGUACGGGUUGAUGAGGGAGUGGAGGACCCCAGGUCCCUUCUUAAUGUCAGCCUUGGCCACAGGUUUCGAUGAAAUUUAGUAUGUUGAUUAGGAGCUGCCAAAAUCAGAGCAACUCCCCUCCCAAGGGGACGUUUAGUUUUCAGUUGUUAAAAAUACACCCUGAGACAGAAAUUUUGGGACACUUAAGUGACUUUGAAAUCCAUCCAAAGGUUACUCUGUUCCUUCACUCCACACAGCUCAGGCAUUUCCAUGUUGGUCUCAGCUGCCAUCUCAAUGGUUUAUUCUUUUUACAUGUUGGAGCAGAUCUGGACCUCCCAAAAUGUUUUGAGGAGAAGUGGGCUUAGAGGGGUUUUCCCUGCUCUGUGAGAGAAGGAAUUUAGCAAGGAUUAAUUUUUCUAAGAAGGUGGCACAAGUUUUGAUGUGAUUUGCUGGAAAAUAGUAAUAGUCACAAUUUAUCUUAUUCCCCCAAGAGAAUGGGAUGAUGUUCCCAUGGAACCUUGCUCAUCCUGCUAGCAAUAACUUGUAUUCUCUUUCUGAUUCACACAAACAAGGAUCAGAGGGUGAUGGUGGGGGAAAUGAUACCAGGAAAUACAGUUCGUUUUUUGCAGGGAUUCAGAAUGUGUUGCUGGACUUCAAGAUAGGAAGAAUCUUUGCCUUGAUGGCUGAUGACAGUAACCACCCCAUCUACCAUCAUCUAUUAAGGAUUUACUGUGUGGUCACUUUACAGUCAUCCAAGUAAAUUUUCAUAAUCACCUGAUUACAUGGGUACCGCUUUUCAGAAAAAGAAACAGAUUUCUGGAGGGAUUCAGAAUCCAUGGCUGGAAGAGGUAGUAAGGCCAUUGGGAGGGCAUGCCUCUCCUCAGCCCACCCCCACCCUGUGUGGGUCUCCAUUCUGAAAUUUCCAUUCAGAUGACCCGGUCCUAGGCAGGGACCAAAAUUCCUUGUCAGCUGAGGAAGUCCUGAAGAAACAUCCUGAAGAUGAUGACUGCACUGCCAUCGUGGGCAGAUGCAGCUUCCAUCUACCUGAGGGCUGAAGGGGAAAACCUUUCACACACGUGAGGAAGGCGCAGCUCUGUGGAAAGGUCACUAGAAUGGCAGCGGCAGCAAAUAGGGCUCCAAUGCACGUUUGCAGUUAACUGGGUCCAAGGAGAGCAUGGCCCUCCACAGCAAGUUUGCUCUAUAGAAUAAAGUCCUGAGCUUGUUUUUAUCACAGUUAGACAGAGAAUGGUCUCUUGUUUCUCAGUUAUCCAGGGAAGAACAGUGUAUAUUCUCUGUAGAUGAGUGUUGUCUAAUGUAGUGAUUAAUCUCUGCUAGUGUUAGGAAAGCUCCACUACUGUGUGUGUGUGUGCGUGCAUGCGCGUGCGCAUGUGCACAUACUGCAGUCUUGACUUUCCAAUUACAAAAUGCCUAAGUCAGGUCACAUUGUCUUCUUCCAGCCAGUUUCUAAGGCAGGCAAUGGAAACAGGAGCCGAUGCCAAAUGGUCUAGAGGCAGAAGGGCUGCAUGCUUUGCAGGGCCAGCCCCAAGGCUGCCUUCCAGAGCUGCACUUUCUCUGGGGACAGUAAACUCUCACCGCAGCUGCCAGCCCCCUGUGCUUGGCCAUGCCCCUCACAUGGACUUGGAAUCAGUGUCUCUCUUGCUGAUGAGCACCUCCAGGAGCCUCAGUUUCGCCUUUAUGUGCUUAUAUUCACUGUAUUCUUCAGCCAUAGGAGUGCGGUCUUCCUUCUGGAC